AUACGUAGGUGGCGAGCGUUGUCCGGAAUUACUGGGCGUAAAGGGUGCGUAGGCGGCUCUGCAAGUCAGGUGUGAAAACCAUCGGCUUAACUGAUGGACUGCAUUUGAAACUGUGGGGCUUGAGUGGAGUAGAGGCAGACGGAAUUCCCGGUGUAGCGGUGAAAUGCGUAGAGAUCGGGAAGAACACCAGUGGCGAAGGCGGUCUGCUGGGCUCUAACUGACGCUGAGGCACGAAAGCAUGGGUAGCAAACAGGAUUAGAUACCCUGGUAGUCCAUGCCGUAAACGAUGAUUACUAGGUGUGGGGAGUCUGACCCUCUCCGUGCCGGAGUCAACACAAUAAGUAAUCCACCUGGGAAGUACGACCGCAAGGUUGAA
This 376-nucleotide ribosomal RNA is filed under the name uncultured bacterium. RNAcentral describes it as "bacterial SSU rRNA". It matches the Rfam family "Bacterial small subunit ribosomal RNA", at positions 523 to 898 of the family's 1533-position model. The record is from RNAcentral.